Molecule: long non-coding RNA, 532 nt
Organism: Equus quagga
Lineage: Eukaryota; Metazoa; Chordata; Mammalia; Perissodactyla; Equidae
Exons: 2
Source: RefSeq, a predicted model, not a curated record
GAGGGGAGGGGACGGAGGAGGAGACACACCACAUCAGCUGGGGAGACUUCAAGGGAGGCGGGCGGGCCGGGAGGAAGUGCAGAGGAGGGAGGGGAGCACCGAACACCCAAAGAGGGAGAGGCGCACGCGCGCCCAGCCCUCCCACGCGCACUGGGGUGACCCCCAGCCCCGCCACCCACGGACGGCCCGACUGCCGGCUGAGGAGCUCGCGUACCCGGACGCACGCGCGGGCGCAAAACAAAGGGCCAAACAUGCUCCGGCCGGCUCUGCCUCCGCCUCGGCGCGCGCCGGGCCCCGGUUACCUGCGCAGGAAAGACAGGCCACCUGAAAAGAGCAAGACCCUGGAGGAUGCGAGACUAUGAAGGGAGAGAAAGGGGUCCAGCUGUCUCCCAGCCACCGCAGCUGAGGCACUGCGUGAAGCCAUCUUGCAUCCUUAGCCCUGUCGAGUCCCCCCCAGCAGGAACUAGCUGCAUCUGCCAAGUCUGCCCAAGUUGCAGAAUCGUGAGCAAAUAAAUGACUGUGUUUGUUUUAA